RNAcentral lists this small RNA (157 nucleotides) under Arabidopsis thaliana (thale cress). RNAcentral's name for it is "ATSL165920". The record is from RNAcentral. Lineage: Eukaryota; Viridiplantae; Streptophyta; Magnoliopsida; Brassicales; Brassicaceae.
UAAAUCAGUCAUUGAACAAUUCACCCAAAACACAUUCACCGCACCUACUUAUCAUCACACAAAACAAAUUACACAACCCAAUCGCUCAGAUAAGCUCAUGGUCACACACUCACCUUAACAAAUUAAUUCUAAUAACAAUUAAACCCGGGAGAGACUC